CCUACGGGGGCUGCAGUUUCGAAUCAUUCACAAUGGGCGAAAGCCUGAUGGUGCGACGCCGCGUGAGGGCUGAAGGCCUUCGGGUUGUAAACCUCUGUCACUGGGGAAGAAACGCUUCAAGUUAAUAGCUUGAAGCCUGACUUAACCCAGAGAGGAAGCAGUGGCUAACUCUGUGCCAGCAGCCGCGGUAAUACAGAGACUGCAAGCGUUAUGCGGAUUGGCUGGGCGGGCGGGCUGCGCAGUCGGCCGGGAAAGCCCGGGGCUUAACCUCGGAAUUGCGCCUAAAACUACACGGCUAGAGCAUUGGAGAGGGUAGCGGAAUUCACGGUGUAGCAGUGAAAUGCGUAGAUAUCGUGAGGAACACCAGAGGCGAAGGCGGCUACCUGGACAAUUGCUGACGCUCAGGCACGAAAGCGUGGGGAGCAAAAGGGAUUAGAUACCCGUGUAGUC
Molecule: ribosomal RNA, 450 nt
Filed under: uncultured bacterium
Lineage: Bacteria
Description: partial 16S ribosomal RNA
Rfam family: Bacterial small subunit ribosomal RNA
Source: RNAcentral